GUCUACGACCAUGCCACCCUGAAUGUGCCCGAUUUCAUCUGAUCUCGAAAGCUAAGCAGGGUCGGGCCCAGUUAGUACUUCGAUGGGGAGACCACCUAGGAAUACUAUGUGCACCAGGCA
This 120-nucleotide ribosomal RNA is filed under the name Pteropus alecto (black flying fox). The record is from RNAcentral. Lineage: Eukaryota; Metazoa; Chordata; Mammalia; Chiroptera; Pteropodidae.